UGUCGUAUAUGCAUAUCAUGUACGGGGUGAAAUGCCGAACUAACCAUAGAAUGCUUAACGAGCUUACGCAAACGAGCAUGCGUAGCCAGACUUUUUCGGGUAAGGUUAGAUGCCUGAGGGUAAUUGGGAAGUGACCUCACACCUUCUAAACAAGGGUGAGUCCUCACUCGCCUUCCACCCACCACUCUCCCUUUUUUUUUGUAUAUACAUCAUCUGGAAAAACAUAACAAAAGCUACUCGCAGUUUCUGAAGAAUCACGCCGAACUGCAGUAACCAUCCAAUGUCAAAUUUGUAUUCAGUGUCAAUAUAUUUUUCUUUUAUUUGUUAUAAUAAAUCUCUAUUAUAC
RNAcentral lists this long non-coding RNA (346 nucleotides) under Penaeus japonicus. Its description in RNAcentral is "uncharacterized LOC122266793". The record is from RNAcentral. Lineage: Eukaryota; Metazoa; Arthropoda; Malacostraca; Decapoda; Penaeidae.